This 95-nucleotide Y RNA is filed under the name Callithrix jacchus (white-tufted-ear marmoset). RNAcentral describes it as "Y RNA (ENSCJAG00000051999.2)". It matches the Rfam family "Y RNA". Rfam says of the family: Y RNAs are components of the Ro ribonucleoprotein particle (Ro RNP), in association with Ro60 and La proteins. The Y RNAs and Ro60 and La proteins are well conserved, but the function of the Ro RNP is not known. Lineage: Eukaryota; Metazoa; Chordata; Mammalia; Primates; Cebidae. The record is from Rfam by way of RNAcentral.
AGCUGGUCCGAGUGCGUUUACAGCUAAUUGAUAACAACCAGUUACAGAUUUUUUAAUUCUUCUCCACCCCCACUGCUUCACUUGACUGACUAGCU